This 445-nucleotide ribosomal RNA is filed under the name uncultured bacterium. RNAcentral's name for it is "partial 16S ribosomal RNA". It matches the Rfam family "Bacterial small subunit ribosomal RNA", at positions 339 to 795 of the family's 1533-position model. The record is from RNAcentral.
CUACGGGGGGCUGCAGUGGGGAAUAUUGGGCAAUGGAGGAAACUCUGACCCAGCGACGCCGCGUGAGGGAUGAAGGCCUUCGGGUUGUAAACCUCUUUCAGCAGGGAAUAAGCGAAAGUGAAGGUACCUGCAGAAGAAGCACCGGCUAACUAUGUGCCAGCAGCCGCGUGUAAUACAUAGGGUGCAAGCGUUGUCCGGAAUUAUUGGGCGUAAAGAGCUCGUAGGUGGUCGAUCACGUCGGAUGUGAAAUUCUGAGGCUUAACCUCGGACCUGCAUUCGAUACGGGUUGACUAGAGUGUGGUAGGGGAGACUGGAAUUCCUGGUGUAGCGGUGGAAUGCGCAGAUAUCAGGAGGAACACCGAUGGCGAAGGCAGGUCUCUGGGCCAUUACUGACACUGAGGAGCGAAAGCGUGGGGAGCGAACAGGAUUAGAUACCCUCGUAGUC